Molecule: transfer RNA, 71 nt
Filed under: Penaeus monodon (black tiger shrimp)
Lineage: Eukaryota; Metazoa; Arthropoda; Malacostraca; Decapoda; Penaeidae
Also listed under: 1 other name
Description: tRNA-Pro
Rfam family: tRNA
About the family: Transfer RNA (tRNA) molecules are approximately 80 nucleotides in length.
Source: RNAcentral
GGCCUGAUGGUCUAGGGUAUGAUUCUCGCUUAGGGUGCGAGAGGUCCCGGGUUCAAAUCCCGGUCAGGCCC